This 2684-nucleotide long non-coding RNA is filed under the name Salvia miltiorrhiza (redroot sage). RNAcentral describes it as "long non-coding RNA (SMIL_LNC007804)". Lineage: Eukaryota; Viridiplantae; Streptophyta; Magnoliopsida; Lamiales; Lamiaceae. The record is from RNAcentral.
GUUUUUAUAACGGUUUUUUGGACGUUAAGAAAAACGUUAUAUAAGUGUUAUGUAUAAUCAUAUUUAUUUUUAUUAAUUUUUUUUAAUUUUUUUUAAACCCAUAUUAUUUUAUAUUAAAAUAUAAUUCCCCCAAAUCCUUUCUUUCUCUCUCUCGUCUAAUUCCCCCAAAACGUCACUCUCUCUCUCGUCCUCCCCCUAACCAGCGGCGCCACCCAAAACCACCAAACCCUAACUCUCUCUCUCGGCCUUCCCCAAGUCCGCCAUGCCUCUGCGGGUCAGCCAAGGAUGAUGGCACCGUCGAACUCGCGUGCAACGCGGAUGAGGCGGUUCCAUCAAGGGACGCCGAAGGCUAGGGCNGGUUGUCGCACGUUGGGAGUCUUUUCCUCAGAAUUCUCCAGGUGACUAAUCUUGCUUUCUGUGGGGCCGGUGUGUCCCACACGUGUUCCAUCAUCUCUUUGUCGAAGCUCACUUGGUGAACCCGAGAUCCUUGAGCUUUUGAUUAAAUCAUAUGCUGACUUAGAAGAGAAUGAGCCCUCUUUUGUAGCAUUCCAACGCCAAUAGUCUUCAGUACCUGCGUUCAAAGUAACAGAGGAGAUAGCAGCCAACAGAUCAUUAGUCAUCUCAAGCUCUCUAUCCCGGAGUGGUCGCCUCCAUUUGAGAUUCCAUUCCCAGCCCCCUUCCUUCCACUCCCCCUGAUCACUAACCACAGCUUUUUUGUUUUCACAUAGCUGAAAAAGUCUGGGAAAAGCAGUCUUUAAGCUUCCCGAAUCAGCCCAAAUAUGCUCCCAAAAGCUUGUGUUCCUACCGUUUCCCACCACCAUCGUCAGAGAAUUCACGAACCAAUUCCCCGUUUGUUCUCCCACAGUUGCUAAGACACUUGGCCACCACCCAGUUCUACUUCUACCCAGAGACAACACUUCCAGCCCUUCUCCCUCCCACUUAAGAUCACCAUGGAUCGACCUCACAAUUCUCGCCCACAACCUUUCCCUCCCCACCAAAUACCUCCACACCCAUUUCGACACAAGUGCGACAUUAAACCAUUCCAGAUUCCUCAGCCCCAGCCCACCAUCCUUAAAAUCAUUGUACAGCUCACUCCAUUUAACCCACGGGAUCGACCCUGCAUUAGCCCUUCCUCCCCAAAGGAAUUUGCAGAGAAGGGAAUUUAAGGAUUUAAUAGUUGCCUUUGGGAUUCUUGAAAAAGAGAGUUGGAAAACCGGGAUUGCCAUAAGAACGGACUUAACCAAAGUGUACACGACCCGGCAAGAGACAACUUACCUUGACUUCCAACCAUCAACUCGCUUCUUCACUUUUCCACAAGAAAGUUCCAGUUGACCACUUUGUUAAGGCCACUGCCCACUUUUAAACCAAGGUAACUGAAAGGAGAAACUCCAACCUUGCAGCCGAGUUCCGAAGCCAAUCCUCUCAACAAUCGAACACUCCACCUCCACACCAAUCUAAACUACUUUUGUCAAAAUUCACAGCAAGGCCCGAAAGUACUUGAAAAUACCCAGUACAUACCUCAUAGCUUUUGCAUUACAUUCCUUGUCCUCCAAAAUGAAGAUGGUGUCAUCCGCGUACUGAAGGUGUGAGAUUUGGAUCUUAUCGGCGCCUAUCUCUGCAGGAAUAACCAGAUUUUUCUCCACAGCUCUUUCCAUGAGAAAGUGAAGGCCUUCAGCCACAAUGAGGAAUAGAAAAGGGGACAAUCACUACUACAAAAUUUCACAUACAUAACACUCAAUACAUAACGGUUUUUUAAAAAAACCGUUAUGUAUGAGCGCACUUUUAGGUAUAGAUAACGGUUUGACAAAAAACCGUUAUCUAUGUAGUGUUAUCCAUACUCAUAGACAACGGUUUAAGUUAAUCCGUUAUCUUUGUGCGUUAUCUAUUAGUCCCAUAGAUAACGGUACUACAAAACCGUUAAGCCGACCGUUAUCUAUGAGCAUGUUUUUAUAACGGUUUUUUGGACGUUAAGAAAAACGUUAUAUAAGUGUUAUGUAUAAUCUAUAUUUAUUUUUAUUAAUUUUUUAAUUUUUUUUAAACCCUAUAUUAUUUUAUAUUAAAAUAUAAUUCCCCCAAAUCCUUUCUUUCUCUCUCUCGUCUAAUUCCCCCAAAACGUCACUCUCUCUCUCGUCCUCCCCCUAACCAGCGGCGCCACCCAAAACCACCAAACCCUAACUCUCUCUCUCGGCCUUCCCCAAGUCCGCCAUGCCUCUGCGGGUCAGCCAAGGAUGAUGGCACCGUCGAACUCGCGUGCAACGCGGAUGAGGCGGUUCCAUCAAGGGAACACCGAAGGCUAGGGCACAUCGAUGCGAAGCAAGGAAAAGGAGGAUGUUAUCGGCGGCAGCUGGUCGCUGGCUUCACGAAGAUGACGGCUAUGCCUUGUCAGCCUCGCCGGAGUUAGAGGCGGCGGUGGCAGCGGAUUUGAAAUUUUGGGGAAAAAAUUAGGGCUCAUGUGUGUGCGUAAGUACGUUCUGGAGAUACGGGGGUAGAGACGAUGGGAGGCGCGAUGAUGGCGGUGACCGUGGCAGCCGGCAGCGGCUGACGCCACCGGAGAAGAGGGAGAGGCGACCAUGGUUUGGGUAAUUCAAUUAUUUUUUUCUUCCUUUUGUUACCAGUUAAUUGGAGCUUCUAGAUUCCUCGCUGUUCAGCAGCGCCGUGCCCUCGCUUAUGCCCGCCUCAAACGG